UUUCAAAGGAGUCCUUUUGGAGAGACCUGGGAUCAUUCUUAAUUUCAAGCCAUGGUUCAGUGCUUAUCUUGCAAUCAAGAACUAGGGCCAAGAUGGCACAGAAUCUCCAACAAGAAGGUCCUUCGUUUCUGAAUUCUCUUAGUGAAGGUGAUGCUCUUCGUCUGGUAGACUUGCUAAUCUCAGAUAAGAAAUGGGUGGAUGAAUGUCUUUCCCGAACCUUCCCUUACAAGCUCAUUCAGCCAGCAGUCAAAGCUUCAAUCAACAGUAAUUCUUCCAAUUCGAAUGGGUUGAGUUCUGUGUUUAGGAAUACGAGAGAAUCUAAUUUGAAGAGCUCACAAAAACUUGACGGUGAGAAAAUACACCAAAAUCCCCCUCACACGGGAGUUUCUCGACCGAUCAUUCAGG
Molecule: unclassified non-coding RNA, 405 nt
Filed under: Hevea brasiliensis (rubber tree)
Lineage: Eukaryota; Viridiplantae; Streptophyta; Magnoliopsida; Malpighiales; Euphorbiaceae
Source: RNAcentral